CUGAGAAGAAGAGAGGCAUUACAUGAAGAUAAAGAGUCUUUGUUUGGUAGCCAAGGAUGAUUUGCCUACGGCUUUUCAGGUGGUUAAUAUUGAUGCUAUGAUUAUGAAUGUAAAACCCCUCGCUCUGGUCUGCAGGCAGUCACCUUGGCUAAGCUAACAGGCUCUUUUCUCUUAUGUUAGGCCUUCUUUUCUUCCUGUGUAGAAGCUUAAUGCUGAUUUUAUAUAUGCAAUUAUAAGAGUACUAUUUAUCACUGACUUGCUACUCAAAAAAAAAGAAAAAAACAUAUAUCACUGACUUAAAUUGUGCAAUUCUUUUCUAUAUAUAUCUGCUUCCAGGACAGGCUAUAUAUAUAUAUAUAUAUAUGGCAUAGCAGAAGCUACACAUCACACCCUGAAUUGAAGCACCAAGUUCCCCAUGCCAAGUGGAAAUUAAGUGGAAACACAAUCACAAUCGAGAAGCAGUGGAUGAUUCAAAUCUGAAAUCUGAAGGCCUCCCUCUUUCUCCACCUAUAAAUUGACAAGAAAUUCCUGCCACUGCAAUUCCAGUAUAAAUCCUCGUGAGAGUGUAAGUGUUUUCUUAUUUCCCUUUCUUUUUUCCGAAAGUGGAAAUAAAUUUAAAAGAAAAAAAGGAGAAAAAUGUUGACAGUGGAAUAAUCUUAAUCCUGCAAGGUAUUGGUGACACUGUUCUAAGAUAUAACAAUAAAUUUCUAAUCAAAACUUCGAAAUGAAGGCGCUAGGGAAAAAUUAGUUAGUGUGCAUUUCUUUGAUACAUAGCUUCAUGGAGAAAUUGUGUAGCAAUUUUGAUUUGGAGCUUGUUGAGUCAAAUAAGCAGGAAUAUGGCAAUUCGGAAAUUAUAAUUCUUUUGUCUCUUGGAUCACGCUUCAAUGGGAGGAUUUAGAAAACCAGCUUUUUCCCAUCGGGUUUCAUGUUCUAGAAUACUACAACCAAUUCAUCAAGUAAAGAGAAACACACGAUUGAGGCAGCAUGCUGCUCAGCUUGGAGCCAGAGUAGAGGAGUUAGGGUUCCAUAAAUGAGAACGUGUUGCUGUUUUAUGAAAGCCAAUAGGAAAGAAGGCAUCGAAUCUGUCCAAAAGUUAGGAAGGAAAGUUGAGCUUGUCGUGGAAUUGAUUGAAUUAACGAGUCUAAACAAAUUGGAAUCAGAGAUAAUAUUUAUCAACUAAUUUCCAUUACCAAUCUUGCUAAGGUGCGGUUGGAAGAGAUUGACUCCAUAAAAAGCGCCACCGAAGAGCAUCUGGAACAACUUAACUUGAUGGAGAAAUCAGCUAAAGAUCGCUUUAGAGACGCUAAACUGAAAGAGCAGUUUCAAUCGGAUGAGAAGGAUCUUGAACAACAACGUCAAGAGCUCAAAGCUGUUGGAAGAACUGAGGAAAACAAAUAUGAAGAGCGAUUCACAAAGAAUUCCAAUGAAAAGAGCAGAAACUUAAUGAAUUCGCCUAUCAUGAUCUGUACUCUAAUGUAAAAACAGUGGCAAUAGAAAAUCUUCAGGCUGCAGCCAAUCUUGAACCUGUUGUUCCAUUAAUAUUCCAGCCUGUUUGGGUUCGCAGCCUCCUACCCAACAUCAACAACCAGGUUCCUAAACCAAUAUUGGAGGGCUACGGUUCCCUCUUUACUCAAUGCAUCCUCGUCCCGAACAGCAACCUGGUUACCAUUUCCUGGAGUUGACAUGAACAUAAAUCCACACUUUUGUAUCUGGAAUCCUUUACUCAAGAUUGGAGAGAAUAUGUUCCAUUAUGG
This is a long non-coding RNA of Theobroma umbraticum, 1754 nucleotides long. RefSeq lists it as uncharacterized. The record is from RefSeq and is a predicted model, not a curated record. NCBI's taxonomy places the organism in Eukaryota, Viridiplantae, Streptophyta, Magnoliopsida, Malvales, Malvaceae.